CCUACGGGGGGCUGCAGUGGGGAAUAUUGGACAAUGGGGGCAACCCUGAUCCAGCCAUGCCGCGUGUGUGAAGAAGGCCCUCGGGUUGUAAAGCACUUUCAGUGAGGAAGAACGCCUGGUGGUUAAUACCCAUCAGGAAAGACAUCACUCACAGAAGAAGCACCGGCUAACUCCGUGCCAGCAGCCGCGGUAAUACGGAGGGUACGAGCGUUAAUCGGAAUUACUGGGCGUAAAGCGCGCGUAGGUGGCUUGAUAAGCCGGUUGUGAAAGCCCCGGGCUCAACCUGGGAACGGCAUCCGGAACUGUCAAGCUAGAGUGCAGGAGAGGAAGGUAGAAUUCCCGGUGUAGCGGUGAAAUGCGUAGAGAUCGGGAGGAAUACCAGUGGCGAAGGCGGCCUUCUGGACUGACACUGACACUGAGGUGCGAAAGCGUGGGUAGCAAACAGGAUUAGAUACCCGAGUAGUC
RNAcentral lists this ribosomal RNA (465 nucleotides) under Vreelandella stevensii. RNAcentral's name for it is "partial 16S ribosomal RNA". It matches the Rfam family "Bacterial small subunit ribosomal RNA", at positions 338 to 795 of the family's 1533-position model. The record is from RNAcentral. Lineage: Bacteria; Pseudomonadati; Pseudomonadota; Gammaproteobacteria; Oceanospirillales; Halomonadaceae.